This 30-nucleotide non-coding RNA is filed under the name Homo sapiens (human). Lineage: Eukaryota; Metazoa; Chordata; Mammalia; Primates; Hominidae. The record is from RNAcentral.
UGCCAGGAUCACAGCAGCUGCAUGGGUACC